This 6009-nucleotide long non-coding RNA is filed under the name Malus domestica (apple). Its description in RNAcentral is "long non-coding RNA (MDOM_LNC006632)". The record is from RNAcentral. Lineage: Eukaryota; Viridiplantae; Streptophyta; Magnoliopsida; Rosales; Rosaceae.
AAAAAAAAAAGGGGUCUGAUUUUUUUGACCCGUUUUGGGGCGUUUUCGACCCAUAAAACCACAAACUUGAUCCGCUUGUAUCUCCUUCAUCCGAUCUCCGUUUUGGGUGAUCUUGGUGUCUAUGGAAAGCUCUUGACGAGCCCUACAACUCUGUAUGUUAGAUUUUCCAUUUUAUUAUCCAUUUUUCCAGUUCGAGGCAGCAAAGUCCCGUGGGUUUUCCGGCGGUUUUGUCAUUUUCCGGCGAUUCCGGCAACCAUUUCCUUCAAGUGAGGUAUGAAACUUCAUCUCCUCUUCAUAAUCUUCAAGUUGGUAUGCUUAGUUUGUGCUUUCGUAUUCAUUUUAGAGUUGGGUGUGUAGAACCUUAGAAAUCCGGUUUUCACCGGUGAUUUUGGUCGGUUUCCGGUUAGAAUUUGUCAUUGGCCUAGUUGUGAAAAGUGUUUCUCUUGCUGAGCUCUAACUACCACGUAAAUUUGAGCUUAUUUAGUUAAUGUUGAAAAUUUGGGGUUUCUAAACCCUCCACCUUAACUAACCCGCGUGUGGCGGUGCGUGGGAUCGUCCACGAGUGUUGUCUAAGUACCAAAUACCUUUUAGUGAUCCUGUAAACCUAUGUCUAACUCGGUUUCCCGAAAUUCAAUUGUUUGGUGUGGUGAUCAAAUUGGACCAUCACUUAUUUGUGUGAUUGAUGACAAUCCGAUCGUUGGUUCGUUGUACAAUUUUGUGAACACCCUAGUUGUCAGUUGUUGGACCUUUGAGAACUUACAGAUCGAAAAUCCGAUGUGCGGAUCUUCCGGAUUGAAUAACCUUAGGUUGUUGACCUUAAUGGACCUACCUUAUCGACUGUUGAUGUUCUAGUCAACGUGCUCUACUCUAGGGUGUCGCUUAUCUCUAGUUUGUUGUUGAUGGAGCUUAGUUGGUUCAUCACGAUGACGUGUCGUUUCCAGUUGACGUGUCUCGAUAUAUGUAUUAGCGGCACCAUAUUGAGUUAUACUUGUUUAUUAAAUGUACUUUCUAUUGAAUUGUUAUCUUUAUUUUUUUUAGCAUCGAUCUAUGUUUAUUAAUUGUGAAUCGACUGUAGCUUGGAAACGUUUAUGAAAUGUGGUUAGAUAUGUAUGAUUAGUAUGAUGUAUAUGAUUGUUUUUAGGGAACUUUAACGAAAACACCCGGUAAUGUUCACUUUAACGAAAAACCACAUUUUUACACUAAAAAGUCAAUCUUGGUACUAUUCACUUUACCCUUUAUUUUGUCCUUAUCAUUAAAACUCAAAGUUUUCAAACCCUUUUCAUUAGUUUUCCUUUGUUUUUAUGACGAUGUGAACCCAAAAUCUUAUGAGAAGUUUAUGUAGAACUUUUAUGCUUGUAUGAUAAGAUAGUGGUCAUGAGAAGUUGAUAGUGUAAGUGAUUACGAUGUAAAUCAUAACGGAUGAGAUAAGGGUACGUGGGUUGUGUGUUGAUCUUACUACUCCAUGUAGUAGUUAUACAUUGAUGGUCCUGCUUGGUAUAUCCGCAUUGGGGGGGUCACUAGAGGUCAUGCUUGGUUAAUCCGCAUUGGGGGACCUUACUAUAUAUGGAUCGCGCUUGGUUAAUCAACGUUGGGCGAUCUUUAUGGCCAUGUAUGCUUAAGAGCGAUCAUGCUUGGUAAAUCCUCAUUGGGUGAUCACUUUCUAACAGUUGUAAGAGUGACUUUGCUUGGUUAAUUCGCAUUGGGGGGGGCCACUUCCUAUUUGGUUACUUAUGUAGGCUUCGGCCGAACCGCGUCCCUCUAACCCUAGUUUUUAAUGCACUUAUGAACGAUGGUUUUUGGGAAUUUUGGUUGGUUGAAUGGAUGUUGGGUGACUCCUACGGAGUUUUCAAUGACUUGAUUAUGAUUCCAUAAAGCAUGAUUCUAUACUUGAUGUUUAUAGAUUGUGAUCGAUGGUAUGUUUUUAUUGAAUAUCUCAUACUUGAAUUAUUGUCACUCACCCGAGCUCCGCAGCUUAUCUGAGUUCCGUUUGGCCAGUGCACCAUUUCCAUGAUGUAGGCAUUGAUUUUACCUAUAACAGGUCUGAGUAGAUUGUGAGAAACCGCUUGAUAUUUUGGUUCCGUUGAGCGGUCUGGAACCCGAUGUUGUUGGAUUCCGUUGAGUGGUCCGAAAUCCUUACUUUCGCUAAUUCCCAUAAGAUUAGUCUAGAACCCUAGAUUCGAGUGAAUGGGAAUUACCCACAAUGGAUCUUGUGAAUACAAAUUAGAAUUACCAUGUUAUUAUUCAUAACCCAAGUAGGGAAUUAUGUAGAGUUCUUUAAUUAAAUUCGUGAAAUGAUAUGCUAUCUCACUGAUUGAUUAACGUAAUUAAAUAUUAAUAUUGUGCUUCGUGAUUCCUUGAUAUGUUACAAGCUAUAGAUUGAGAUAUAAUGUUGGAAACAUAGUGAUUGGUAUGAUGUAGUGAAAUGUGAUUUGACUUGUGUAUUGGAAAUGGUUGUGACAUGUGAUUGAAAUGCUUAUUGAAUUGCUUGGGUGAUGUGAGGUCUGGUAAUAGACCGAUAACCCAUUGUGAUAGGGAUUUGUUGCUCGAUAUUGUUUCGUUUCGUUUAGUCUUCGUGAAUUGACUAACUUGAAUCAUGUCUUGUUCCUUUGAGCCGUAGUUAUGCUUCUUGGACUUCCGUUCGGUUCUGUUGAGUGGUCCAGAACUAAGUUCUGCUUGGAUCGUUGAAUGAUGGUCCGGAAUCCCUUCUACUCCGCGAUUCCGUUGAGUGAUGGUCCGGAGUCCCCUUUGGUGCUUUGAUUAUGUUGGAUGGUCCAAAAUUCCCUUUCCAGAAAUGUAGUUUUCGGCCAAACUGUGUCGCUCUAGCCCUUCAUUUCGGUCUAUGAUAUGUGAUAUUGAUUGAUGUGAUUAUGAAUGAUGUUGGUUGUGAUUGUUGCCAUUAUGAUUAGACUUGUUGACCAAUGUGGCUAGAUAAUAACAUUGUGCUUCGUUGACCGUUCUUUGAGAUGUUGCAUACUAUGAUUUGCGGUGAUAUGUGAAACAUGAUGAUUUAUGUGAUGGAUGAAGUGGAAAUGUUAAUCGUCAUGUGGGAUUGUUAUGUUGGAUGUCAUUGUAUUUGUUAUGAUUAGACUUGUUGAUAAAUAUGGCUAGAAAAUAUGUUGUGUUUCGUCAUUGUUCUUUGAUAUAUCGCAUAAUAUGCAUUGUGGUAUAUUGUUGGGACAAAACGUUUUAUGUGAUGGAUAUUCGAUUGUAGUGAAACAAUAAACUAUAAAUGGCUUGAUCCCUAUUGAGGGUACGUAGGCAGUCUAACGAGGAGGUUAGAUGCAGCCAUAAAAUAUACAAAAAUUUCUAUGAGAUUUGGAUCUUGAAUUAUGCUAUGUACAUAUCUCGGAGGCGGGGUAGGUUGAGAUACGGGUAUUUGGUGACGUCAUGUGUUGAUCCUGGACGUAUGUCGGGAUCGGGGCGUGACAGAGCACUCAAACAACUCACAUAACCCUCCUAGCAAAACCCUAUCCAACCCCCUUUGCUACGUUCAAUCGACUCCAACCCAAGGGAAAUAGUAUGUUUCCUUAAUUGCCCCUACAGUUAGUCUCAUAUGCCUCGCAUGUGACUGAUUUUAAUAGAACCAUUGACAGUGUUAGUGAAAAAGACCAUAGCUACACAUUUUGACGAGUUAAGGAACUAAUGGUCAUGAAAAUAAAGUUGAAGGACCAUUGCUAAAAUUUGCCUCCUUUUUUUUUAUAAAUACCUAACCAUGUCCUUUCACUUUUACACUACAUUUCAAUAUUUCAAAUACUUUCUACCAAUCUUUUAUUAUUAUCCGAAAUUAAUAAUAAAGUUAGUUAUCUUUCAUUAUUUUAUAAAAUAAAAAUUAAUAUUAUUUUAAUACGUAUUGUUUAGGUUAUUUAGCUUAUGAGUGGAGAUGCACUUAGACAGUUACUGCGCAUUUAAAAAGAUUGAGUUGCCUAUUUUCCAAAGAGGCCUUGCUACACUAGAAGUGCUCGAAGAGAGCGAGAGGUAAUAUUGCAGAAGUGCUGAUUUGCUUGGAGGACGAGGGAAGCAUGUUUGGUAACAAGUAGAUUCAAUGUCUUGCAUUAUAUGUGUGAUAUUCCUCUAACAAAAGCAAUGUUUUCUCUUGCACGUAGCAGCAAAUUAAGUGCUCAAUUUCUUUCUUUGACAAAAUUUAAACAAUAAAAAUAAAAAAUAGUGCUUAAUUUCUUUCAUUUUUAUUCUUUACAGUUUUGGACUCAGCUAAGAGAACAACAAAACUUUAAUAAACAAAAAUGCCGAAAACUCCAAGGAUCAUAUAAAGUUCAACCAAGGAGAUUUGCCCAACACUACUGCAACAAAGACUUAUAAAUUCUGGUAAAAUGUUCAACUAAGGAGAUUUGCAGUAACACUGCCCAACACAUUAACACUAGUGUUCUUUUCUUUUUCUUCAAGAAACCAAAUUCUCGUAGAAUCGGAGUGUAAUUGUUUCUACAAUCUAAUGCAAAACAAGGUUCUAAAGUGAUUAGCCAAAAACACAAUACAAGAUUUUGCUUACAUACUAACCUGUUAAGAAGAGAACGGUAACAAGUAAACGGACACAAAUUCACAAUUUACAAUUGCCAUUGUUUCACCACAACAAUAAAAAAAUGUGUUCAUCUAUUUAUUACUCAUCAAAGGAUUUGUAUCCUCCCUCCAGAAUCUAGACCUAAAUUACCUUUUCUUUUCGCAAUAUAUAUAUGUAUAUAUGUUAAUCUGCACGUAGACAGAAAAGAAUCAUAGGGAGAAAGGUUUAGUAUACACAUCAAAUGGCUCGCAGGCAGUUAGUUGCGGUUCCUGCCACAAAGCAAAGCAAAGCGACGCAUCAGGCUGUUAGUAUCGUAUGACUAUAAACCAGCAUUUAACUUGAAAACCUAAUAAAUAUUGCGCGAGACAAUACCUGUUUUAGCCCGCCAGUAGCACUGCCUCCUGUCAGAAGCAUGCUGACUAGGGAUGUCACAGCACCACCGCCGCCGCCGCCACCACCACCAAGGAGAGAUGUUAAUCUGCCGCCACCACCACCACCACCACCCGUACCCGUACUUCGAAUGGUAGAGCGCAUAGAAUUGAGUAUGCUUCCAUAGGUACUCGCUUGUCCACGCUCGAUUGCUUGGAUGAAGCAGAAGGUCAUAGCACCUGUUGAUGUGAUCUUCGAUAGAGCCUGUGCCCGUAAAGCAUUAGAUCAGAUAAUGUUCUAGUAGGAGUUUAAACUAUAGUUUUACCAACUCUAUUUUUUCCCCCAAACUUACUGAUGUAUCAGCAGACGUUUGAUCAUCAUCACAACCACUGAAGGAAAUGACUUCUCCACCGCCUGAUCCUUUCCACAUGCCUGAUGGAGGGCGAUGAUCCUCCCAUACAUAUCGUCCGCCCCUAAAUCAAGAAGCGAAAUUAUCUAUCAUAAGAAAUCCUAUUUUAGAUGAGGAGUAAUCAAGUAGGUAGACACAUUGAAAAUCAGGGGAAGAACACAAUAGAAUUCGAGAAUGAUGACAAUACUCAUAAACACCAUGUUUAACUGGACAUUAUAAGAUCAUCCAUGCAUAAGUUCAGAUAACGGAACAAUAGUGAAAGUUCUGCCUUUAGCAUAUGGAAACUGGCAAAUUCAUGGACUCAAACUAUAACAGCAGGAACUUAAAGAAAAGACUUUUUUAAGGAUUUGGUUCCCCAUUUCUUUUAAAUAGUUUGAAGUCUUUGCUCGAAAGGGCCACAAGGCAAAUGCCUAAGUGUCCACCCUCUGAACUGGCCAUUUUUCGGCAGGUCUAGCAUGAUUACUAGAUGGAAGUCCAUCCCACCAAAAGUAUAAUGUUCAGAAAUGGCAAUUGUUGAUUUUUCAUAUGGUUCCAGUUACUAAUGAGAUGAUACACAUGCAUACCUGACAAAUGUUAAUCUACAUAUCAGGAUCAAAAUUACUGAAAACUAACCUGUCCAUUCUGCAAAGGAAGGGCAAAUCUAGCACGGUGCCACUAUGACAAGCAUCAAUUAUUGCAUGAAGCUUAACCCCGGGUGGAAGGGGCCUUACAAUUGCUG